CGGCGAUGUCUGAUUAGCUAGUUGGUGAGGUAAAGGCUUACCAAGGCGUCGAUCAGUAGCUGGUCUGAGAGGACGACCAGCCACACUGGGACUGAGACACGGCCCAGACUCCUACGGGAGGCAGCAGUGGGGAAUUUUGGACAAUGGGGGAAACCCUGAUCCAGCCAUGCCGCGUGAGUGAAGAAGGCCUUCGGGUUGUAAAGCUCUUUCAGCCGGAACGAAACGGUCACGGUUAAUACCUGUGACUACUGACGGUACCGGAAGAAGAAGCACCGGCUAACUACGUGCCAGCAGCCGCGGUAAUACGUAGGGUGCGAGCGUUAAUCGGAAUUACUGGGCGUAAAGCGUGCGCAGGCGGUUUUGUAAGUCAGAUGUGAAAUCCCCGGGCUUAACCUGGGAACUGCGUUUGAAACUACAAAGCUAGAC
RNAcentral lists this ribosomal RNA (426 nucleotides) under uncultured ammonia-oxidizing bacterium. Its description in RNAcentral is "bacterial SSU rRNA". It matches the Rfam family "Bacterial small subunit ribosomal RNA", at positions 228 to 646 of the family's 1533-position model. The record is from RNAcentral.